GCUGGGUGUGGUGGCGCAUGCCUGUAAUCCCAGCUACUUGGGAGGCUGAGGCAGGAGAAUCACUUGAACCCAGGAGGUGGAGGCUGCAGUGAGCCGAGAUUGUGCCACUGCACUCCAGCCUGGGCAACAGAGCGAGACUCCGUCUCAA
Molecule: unclassified non-coding RNA, 148 nt
Organism: Papio anubis (olive baboon)
Lineage: Eukaryota; Metazoa; Chordata; Mammalia; Primates; Cercopithecidae
Rfam family: Metazoan signal recognition particle RNA
About the family: The signal recognition particle (SRP) is a universally conserved ribonucleoprotein. It is involved in the co-translational targeting of proteins to membranes.
Source: Ensembl